CUUUUUUUCGACAAAUAAAUAACAAUACCAGGCUCUUUGAGUCUGGUAAUUGGAAUGAGUACAAUCUAAAUCCCUUAACGAGGAUCCAUUGGAGAGCAAGUCUGGUGCCAGCAGCCGCGGUAAUUCCAGCUCCAUUAG
Non-coding RNA from Beta vulgaris subsp. vulgaris (sugar beet), 138 nucleotides. The record is from Rfam. NCBI's taxonomy places the organism in Eukaryota, Viridiplantae, Streptophyta, Magnoliopsida, Caryophyllales, Amaranthaceae.